UCCCUUGGGGUGGGAAGGGAUGACCUUCGAAAAGGCAUCGGAGUUUGGGGUCUCAAACAAGCAUCAAACUAAGAGUGAAGACAAGCGGCAAGGGGAAAGGGGAAGGGAGGAGGGGAGAAAGAAGGAAAAGUUAGCACUGGACUCGGGAGAGUGCCUGGUUUGUUUUCUUGGCAGGGACCGGGAACUCUCUGGCAGCCAGGUUUCUUGAGCGCGGCCGGCGGCUCCGCGGCUCCCAUUGGUCCGCGCGCGGCUGUUGCUACGCGGAUGGACCAAUGGCGCGCGAGGGGGUUCUGGCUCCGCCUUUCCCGGGUCGGGCCACGGGAGCCCGGGGGAGGAGGCUGGAGCGCAGGCCUCUGCCCCGGGGUCUUUUUUUUUUUUUUUUUUAAAGAAGGAGGAGGCGGGGAGGGCGAGCCUGGGCGGGGCGGACGCCUCCCUGCGCCGCGCCCCGGGAGGCUGGUUCACCUGUCCGACUCGUUCCUCCUCUCCCGGCUGCCUGGCCCUCCUGCCUUUGCACAGCCUGCGGGGAGAGGGCUGGACGCACCGACUGUUUUAUUGUAUUUAUUUAUUUAUUUUUCCUUCCUGGAGCCUGAGUGUUGUUUAUGUUUUAAUAACUUUAUCAACUCGGUGAACUUUGGCUAGAGCACCGGCAGCUUCUCUCUCCUCCCUCCUAAAGCCCUUGUCUCUAACUGGCCUCUGGGUCGCUUCCAAAAGGUGCUUCCUUCCAACUCUCCUUGUUAAGGCUUGUACCGUUGGCAUGGUCAAUAUGGCAGGCAGAAUGAACCCGGCUUACUGCAGCCCCUUUUUACAGAUGAGAAGAACAAGGCCCAGGAAACCCUUGGAGCUGACUCCCAGUGUGUGGCAUGGAUGCAGAACAGAAGAAAGUCCUCUUUCACAGCCAUAGAAUGAGUGUUUCAUGUGGCCGGCUCACAGAAGGCCGGGUUUGGACAAUAUUUCAGAGCGACAUUUCUUUUUCCAAUUCUUAUCCAGUGUUUGGUCUACAGAGAUCCUGUACCUUUGGAAAGUUCAUUUUAUGCCACUUCACUUCUACGAUGACCUCCACCAGGACCCGUUUUCACUAACUGGAAGAAAUCUGAAGAGGAUUUUCGCUGUUAGGAAGAAAGGUAAUUGCUUCUUCACUUUAUGUCAUUUCGGCUUACGACGUUUUUCACAGGAACGCUCUCCUUUCAGAUGGUGGGGGAGCGUGGGUAGCACCCUGACAUACCCAGCCUCAACCAGUCUUUCCUCUGAUAGGGAAUUCACUGCCUUUUUGAUGAAGCCAGGUUGACUUUCAGAUCUUUGAUAAUUCAGAAAAAACUUUCAGCCUCAAGACUUCCAGUUGGCCAAACAAACAAACAAAAUCACCUUUUUAGCAAAAAUAUUCAUUAAAUGUUUAAACCAAGUUGGUGGGCAGAAACAGAAGCAGAAGUGCUAACAGCGAGCUCCUUGCUUGGAGAUGAUACCAGCCCCGCAAAUAAAGGAAGAACCCAGAAUACUUUCGUAGAGAUCAUACACUAGGUGUCUAAGAGCCCUUGAGGGGGUCCACGCCCAUCA
Molecule: non-coding RNA, 1551 nt
Organism: Vicugna pacos (alpaca)
Lineage: Eukaryota; Metazoa; Chordata; Mammalia; Artiodactyla; Camelidae
Source: RefSeq, a predicted model, not a curated record